This 434-nucleotide ribosomal RNA is filed under the name uncultured Clostridiales Family XIV bacterium. RNAcentral's name for it is "bacterial SSU rRNA". It matches the Rfam family "Bacterial small subunit ribosomal RNA", at positions 341 to 792 of the family's 1533-position model. Lineage: Bacteria; Bacillati; Bacillota; Clostridia; Eubacteriales; Clostridiales Family XIV. Incertae Sedis. The record is from RNAcentral.
ACGGGAGGCAGCAGUGGGGAAUAUUGCACAAUGGGGGAAACCCUGAUGCAGCGACGCCGCGUGAGUGAAGAAGUAUUUCGGUAUGUAAAGCUCUAUCAGCAGGGAAGAUAAUGACGGUACCUGACUAAGAAGCCCCGGCUAACUACGUGCCAGCAGCCGCGGUAAUACGUAGGGGGCAAGCGUUAUCCGGAUUUACUGGGUGUAAAGGGAGCGUAGGUGGCGUGGCAAGUCAGAAGUGAAAGCCCGGGGCUCAACCCCGGGACUGCUUUUGAAACUGUAGCCCUUGAGUAUCGGAGAGGCAAGCGGAAUUCCUAGUGUAGCGGUGAAAUGCGUAGAUAUUAGGAGGAACACCAGUGGCGAAGGCGGCUUGCUGGACGACAACUGACGCUGAGGCGCGAAAGCGUGGGGAGCAAACAGGAUUAGAUACCCUGGUA